RNAcentral lists this ribosomal RNA (492 nucleotides) under uncultured bacterium. Its description in RNAcentral is "partial 16S ribosomal RNA". It matches the Rfam family "Bacterial small subunit ribosomal RNA", at positions 29 to 507 of the family's 1533-position model. The record is from RNAcentral.
AGUGAACGCUGGCGGUAGGCCUAACACAUGCAAGUCGAACGGCAGCACAGUAAGAGCUUGCUCUUACGGGUGGCGAGUGGCGGACGGGUGAGGAAUACAUCGGAAUCUACUUUUUCGUGGGGGAUAACGUAGGGAAACUUACGCUAAUACCGCAUACGACCUACGGGUGAAAGCAGGGGAUCUUCGGACCUUGCGCGAUUGAAUGAGCCGAUGUCGGACUAGCUAGUUGGCGGGGUAAAGGCCCACCAAGGCGACGAUCCGUAGCUGGUCUGAGAGGAUGAUCAGCCACACUGGAACUGAGACACGGUCCAGACUCCUACGGGAGGCAGCAGUGGGGAAUAUUGGACAAUGGGCGCAAGCCUGAUCCAGCCAUACCGCGUGGGUGAAGAAGGCCUUCGGGUUGUAAAGCCCUUUUGUUGGGAAAGAAAAGCAGCAGGUUAAUACCCCGCUGUUCUGACGGUACCCAAAGAAUGAGCACCGGCUAACUUCGUG